Panonychus citri (citrus red mite) is the source of this 532-nucleotide long non-coding RNA. RefSeq lists it as uncharacterized. The record is from RefSeq and is a predicted model, not a curated record. The transcript is spliced from 2 exons. Lineage: Eukaryota; Metazoa; Arthropoda; Arachnida; Trombidiformes; Tetranychidae.
CUUAAAAGAAACAUUUUCCGAAUUAAAUUGGCUAAAUCAGUGGAAAUUGUAUUUCAAUUGAAAUUAUAACUACUGAUGAAGAGAAUUUUUUUUUCUAUUUUCUCCCAAACAAAACAUUAAGAGAGAAAAAAACUUCUACUGGUAACGAAGUCGAAGUAUUGUACAAAGGUGAAAGUGAAUGAAUGUUUUUCGAAAUCCAAAUGAUUCUCCCUCAAUUGCUUCUCCUAAAUAUCAUAAGCAACAAAUAUUAAUAUCAAUGGAAAAUAGGGCACACACAUAACGGUAAACACUCCUCGUCCCUUAUUCUCAUCAAGUGACCUUGUCUCGAGACAUCGAAUUGACUGUGUACGUGUGGCUCGAUCUAAACCUAACCACCGACAUUGUCUGAGUCUCUAUUGGAAGAAUAAUAGAGAAAGUAAAAGGAUAAAGUAAUAAUCAUGAUGGAAAAAGAAGGAGGCAAAAAAAAGCGAACCAAUAAAACGAGUCACAAGAAGAUGAAGAUGAGAAGAAGAAGAAGAAGAAGAAGAAAAAG